GUUUUGUGGCCUAGUGGUUAGAGCGUCCGCCUUGGAUGCGGGAGGUCGUGGGUUCUAUCAACUGUCGAGUCAUGCCAAAGACU
Non-coding RNA from Potamilus streckersoni, 83 nucleotides. NCBI's taxonomy places the organism in Eukaryota, Metazoa, Mollusca, Bivalvia, Unionida, Unionidae. The record is from the annotation of a GenBank genome assembly.